UCCCCUUUUUUAAUCAUACAGGUUCCUCACUAAUUCUUAUCUUUGGGAAGAGGCUCCACCAAUUCAUACCGCUUCCUUGCAUUUUGGUUACCUCCUCCAUGUAUCUAACCUUCUGUAUAGUUCUGUUAGUUGCAACAGUUAAAGGCCAAUCCUGAUAGAAGUGCAAAAUGCAGUCAUUGAGGCUGGUCUUGAUAAAUCUAGAGAACCUUUAGUUACACUUAUCGUGCAAAAUGGAACUGUUAGAAAGGGGGACAUAGUAGUGUGUGGAGUAGCCUUUGGAAAGGUUGGUUGAUUACUCCUUGUUUUGAUGUAAUCAUAUGUAAUGUUGACAAAAGAUGAAAAUCCUCAUUUAUAUUAUUUGUCAUUUGGGUUCACAGGUCUUGUCAGCUUCUAGCUUAAGAGCUCUUGGGUCUGAUGGUGAAGUAGAAGGGAUUGGUUAAGUUGUGGCCUUAGACAAUGAUUAAGUCUUGUAGAUAAGGGGAGCUUGCGCUGGAAGGAGCUCAUUAUUUGACAACAGGGGAGCUCGUGAGUCUCAGGGAGCAGCAGCUUGUGGACUGUGAUCAUGAGGAAGUGAGAGGCUUGUCUUGUUAAGCUUUCUUGAAUAAGAGCUAAAGCUGCUAGUAUAUGCUUUUGCCUUUGAAAUAUAGGUUUGGAUCUUUUUCUUCAAGUCUGAGAAUAAUGAACUACCAAGAGAGUUUUGUACUGUAAACCAUAUGUAAACCAUGUUUGCUGCAAUAUAAGUUUCUUCUGUUCCAAAAUC
Molecule: long non-coding RNA, 760 nt
Organism: Rosa rugosa (rugosa rose)
Lineage: Eukaryota; Viridiplantae; Streptophyta; Magnoliopsida; Rosales; Rosaceae
Exons: 2
Source: RefSeq, a predicted model, not a curated record